This is a non-coding RNA of Pongo abelii (Sumatran orangutan), 46 nucleotides long. The record is from Rfam. NCBI's taxonomy places the organism in Eukaryota, Metazoa, Chordata, Mammalia, Primates, Hominidae.
CCAAAGGCUCUUUUAAGAGCCAAUGAAAGUUUCUAAUAGGGGCUGU